This 489-nucleotide long non-coding RNA is filed under the name Equus caballus (horse). Its description in RNAcentral is "lncRNA (ENSECAG00000050946.1)". The record is from RNAcentral. Lineage: Eukaryota; Metazoa; Chordata; Mammalia; Perissodactyla; Equidae.
GGAUGAUAGAAUCCUUGACACUUAACUGUCAGAAGUCAGAUGAUACAAUUACCAUGAUGAGUGACAACAUCAUAAUGGCAAGCAGAAGAGACUGACCCACAGAAAUCUAUGGAGAUGCCUAUAGAACACUGUGUUCCUAGAGGCAAGAUAGAUGGGUAUCCAAUGACAUCUUGCAUUUCUUACCACUAGGAGAGAAGCGCAAUAUUUGAUGUUCAGGGAAUAUCCACUGUUCACCGGUCACUGAUCUGAACAUAAGGAAUAAACAUCUGAACUAGUGAUAGGAAGUUAAUUUCUCAAACUGCCAUGGAAGGAGGGUUUCCAUUAAAGCUCUGAAAAGAAAAGAAUGCUAAAACUUCCUUCCAAAACCCAUCACAGUGUCUAUAUGUCUUUAUUUUUUCUCAUGGUAGAGAUGGAGAUUGGCAAUAAAUAUUUGUUAAUACCCUUCUAUAACCCAAAGUUAAUUUUUCUUUAAUAAUAAAUCCGAUAGGC